GUGAAUGAAAUCACAAAACCUGAUACCCCUUUGUUUGACCGUGAAAAAUUUCUCCCAUCCCCUUUGUUGUCUUGACAACGAGAAAAAGCCCGGUUUUAUGCCGGGCUUUUUCU
RNAcentral lists this small RNA (113 nucleotides) under Saccharococcus thermophilus. RNAcentral's name for it is "RNA E". It matches the Rfam family "RNA Staph. aureus E (RoxS)". Rfam says of the family: It was shown to be regulated by the presence of nitric oxide (NO). Lineage: Bacteria; Bacillati; Bacillota; Bacilli; Caryophanales; Anoxybacillaceae. The record is from RNAcentral.